CUACGGGAGGCAGCAGUGGGGAAUAUUGGACAAUGGGCGCAAGCCUGAUCCAGCCAUACCGCGUGGGUGAAGAAGGCCUUCGGGUUGUAAAGCCCUUUUGUUGGGAAAGAAAUGCCAGCCGAGUUAAUACCUGGUUGGGAUGACGGUACCCAAAGAAUAAGCACCGGC
This 168-nucleotide ribosomal RNA is filed under the name uncultured Stenotrophomonas sp. RNAcentral describes it as "partial 16S ribosomal RNA". It matches the Rfam family "Bacterial small subunit ribosomal RNA", at positions 339 to 497 of the family's 1533-position model. The record is from RNAcentral. Lineage: Bacteria; Pseudomonadati; Pseudomonadota; Gammaproteobacteria; Lysobacterales; Lysobacteraceae.